GACGAACGCUGGCGGCGUGCCUAAUACAUGCAAGUUGAGCGCUGAAGGCUGGUACUUGUACCAACUGGAUGAGCAGCGAACGGGUGAGUAACGCGUGGGGAAUCUGCCUUUGAGCGGGGGACAACAUUUGGAAACGAAUGCUAAUACCGCAUAAAAACUUUAAACACAAGUUUUAAGUUUGAAAGAUGCAAUUGCAUCACUCAAAGAUGAUCCCGCGUUGUAUUAGCUAGUUGGUGAGGUAAAGGCUCACCAAGGCGAUGAUACAUAGCCGACCUGAGAGGGUGAUCGGCCACAUUGGGACUGAGACACGGCACAAACUCCUACGGGAGGCAGCAGUAGGGAAUCUUCGGCAAUGGACGAAAGUCUGACCGAGCAACGCCGCGUGAGUGAAGAAGGUUUUCGGAUCGUAAAACUCUGUUGGUAGAGAAGAACGUUGGUGAGAGUGGAAAGCUCAUCAAGUGACGGUAACUACCCAGAAAGGGACGGCUAACUACGUG
This 497-nucleotide ribosomal RNA is filed under the name uncultured bacterium. Its description in RNAcentral is "partial 16S ribosomal RNA". It matches the Rfam family "Bacterial small subunit ribosomal RNA", at positions 28 to 507 of the family's 1533-position model. The record is from RNAcentral.